AAGUCGUAACAAGGUUUCCGUAGGUGAACCUGCGGAAGGAUCAUUAACGAACAAGAUUGUCGCUGGCUAUCGAAAGAUAGCAUGUGCACAUCUAUCAUCCAAAUACACACACACCUGUGCACCUAUUGUAGAUCGAGAGAUCUAUGUUUACUACACUACCAAACAAUGUAUGUCUUAGAAUGUUAUCAUAUUUUACAACUUUCAGCGACGGAUCUCUUGGCUCUU
Molecule: unclassified non-coding RNA, 225 nt
Filed under: Octaviania sp.
Lineage: Eukaryota; Fungi; Basidiomycota; Agaricomycetes; Boletales; Boletaceae
Description: partial internal transcribed spacer region
Rfam family: Eukaryotic small subunit ribosomal RNA (bases 1-46)
Source: RNAcentral